UAAAAUCUAAAAACAAAGACCACGAAGAACUAACACCUCCCUAGCCCAAACCCCACGAACCCAAUCCUCCCUAAACCAAGCCCCUCGACUCCGACUGAACUCAGAUAGACCAUCGGCUCACAUCGUGAACCCAGGAAGCGGCAGUGAGCCAGUGACGGCAGCGGCCACACCGAUAGUGAGCUGCUCUUCUCUUUCUCUUUUCGAAUUUGGCUUGUGUAAUCUUAAUUCCUACUUCCCAACAUUAAAUCGUGGCAUCGCACCGAUACAACAAUAAAUUAAAACCAUUGGAAAAACGAAAUUGAAAAAUAUUUACUUCAUUUCGUGGCCACUGCCAGUGAGGUGUGUAAAUAUUCAGUCAUAUUUGUGUUGAUUUUUUCAAUGACAUUUUGGGUUGUGGUUUUGAAGUUUUUCAUGUUGGCUGUUAAGAUUGAAUUCCUAUUAUUUGGGAAGAUGCUAUUUGUUUAUAUGGGGGGUAAAUGAUCUGAAAUUUAGAACUUUCUGUGAUAGUUUAUAGUUAUGCAUAGUAGGUGUUUGUCAAAAUGUUUGUGCCAGUCUGUAGUGAUAACUGUACAGUCAAAGCAAUAUUAUUUGCUUUGGUUUUAUUGCAAAAUUAACUUGAAGAAAGAAAGAAAAUUGAGUUUAAUUUUAUCUUCACUGCUAAAUUAUAUAUUCGAAACAUCAUAAAUCCAAAAAAAAAAAAAAAAAAUUGAACUAGAAUAAUUAUUAUUUGUGCAUAAUAUUGGUACCCUUUUUAUAGCUCCAGUUUACAACAAGUCUUGUAAACUACAGGAAUAAAGUUAAGGGAUCGACUAUUAUGCACUUGGUAAAUUAAUAGUCUUAGAGUCUCAGGAUCACAUUAUUUAUUCAUUGCAUUCUAACUACAUACCAACACUUUUCUUAUUGAAAUUUCUGUUGGCAUUGCAUGGAAAAUGUAGACGACCCCUACUUUAAGUCUUGCUUCAUUUUUUUAUUGCCAAAGUAUUUUUGUUUCAUCACAGUUAGACAAUGUAUCUUCCACCCAAAGGAAGACAUUUGGUUUAGCCCUUUCAAUCAUUCUCACAUUGAGACUGCCUCAAGUCCUUGAUAAGCUUGAUCAGAUUUUGAGUGUCUGUAUGCACAACUGUAAUAUUGAGUGAAAACAAUGACUUAUCUGAGGAAGAGUCCAGUGGCGUAAAUAUGCAUCCAGCAGAACCUUCAAACAUGUGCUGCCCUUCAUGGAGAAUCUUUUAAUUCUGCCAUUAGUAAAA
Long non-coding RNA from Quercus robur (English oak), 1247 nucleotides. RefSeq lists it as uncharacterized. The transcript is spliced from 3 exons. NCBI's taxonomy places the organism in Eukaryota, Viridiplantae, Streptophyta, Magnoliopsida, Fagales, Fagaceae. The record is from RefSeq and is a predicted model, not a curated record.